Long non-coding RNA from Nothobranchius furzeri (turquoise killifish), 2739 nucleotides. The record is from Ensembl. NCBI's taxonomy places the organism in Eukaryota, Metazoa, Chordata, Actinopteri, Cyprinodontiformes, Nothobranchiidae.
AUGCAUUUAUUUGCCAGUUUUGUAGCUAACAACAUCAUGAACUAUCAGAAGUCUUACCUGGAAGAGUCAGCUCAAUUAAAGAUGGCCGCUGCAGGUACCAGAUCUGCCCAGAAAACUGUGCCUGCCAAUGACAUCACGCUACACGAUUGGCAGAGAGGAUUUAGAGGAUUUGGUUGGUCUGGGCAACUUACAGAAGUAGUUUUUACAGGUUUUAGAAACGGACACGUCUUUUUUGGUGGCACUGCUCCUUCGCAUAAAUGUUUUGGAAGCAGGUUAGUCAUAAUUCCCAUAUCUUUAAGGAUUUUAUGUGACAUGACUGAACAGAAUGGGGUGACAGGACAGGGUGUGACAGUACGCAAGACGCUCCUCGGGGCGCUUCUUGCUUGGGCCUCUCUCCUGGAGGCGCUCAGUCAGACCGCUUGUUGACAUGUCUUAGUUAUUUUUGUCCCUCACAGGCCACUAUUACAUUUAUAAUUACCACCACAGCAAUAGAGGUAUUCAAUGCUUAUUUCUUUUACAAUUAACAAUGAAUCCAAAACCAUUUUAUUACACACACUCUAACUCAGGGUCAGGGUUUCAGUUUUCAGGGUACAGCUGUGUCCAGAUUCAGGAGCAUGAACCCGGUCCACGUAGGCCGGGUCCUUCCCCUGAGACAGGAAGUGAGCAGCUGAAUUUGAACAUUUAUUACUGUGCCCACCUCAGAGGUAGCAACCGUGACAGAACUAAACAGAAUUAAAACUAAACGUAGUUUUUUUUAACUGCCAGAUUUUAUCAUAGUAAAAACUAAAACUGUAAUCCUCUCUAGCUUUGUCUAUUGAGAAGAAAACAUUCCUGUUCGGCUUACGGUGGAUCCCCAAAUAGGGUUAGUCAGUAAGGGUGCACCAGAUGUGUCCUUUAUAUGCCAGGACACAUUCUAAGUAUCUUUCGAGGUUUGACAGCCUUGUUACUUUGCUGGGAUGUAGUCGGCCUUCAAAUCCAUACUUAGAAGAAUGCAGCCUAUGUUUAUUUGUCUCUAAGCUGCCAUGAAACCAGAAUUUAGCUCAAUAUACAAUUGUAAGAGAUAUAUCCUUCAGGGUCCAUAGUUGUGACCAUUUUUAUUUUUACUGACUCAAAAGGUUAAUCAGGAUGGAUGUGCACAAUCACACUGCUGCACACAAAGACCAUUAUUGCCCAAAAUAAAAAAAGUUUCUGCACAGAUUCAGUACAACAUGAACUCACACCAUUAAGUAAAUGUUACUUUUAGAUUGCGUAAGCUGUACUUCUUUCUACCUUUCUUUUCCCUUCAAUUCAAUUCAAUUCCAGAUUAUUUAUAAAGCGCCAAAUCACAACGAGGGGCGUCUCAAGGCACUUCACAUAUUAAACAUUCCAAUUCAGGUCAGUUCAUAAAGCCAAUCAGAAAAACGUUUCCUAUAUAAGGAACCCAGCAAACUGCAUAAAGUCACUGACUAGUAUCAGUGACUUUACAGCAAUCCUCAUACUGAGCAAGCAUAAAGCGACAGUGGAGAGGAAAACUCCCUUUUAACAGGAAGAAACCUCCAGAGAAUCCCGGCUCAGUAUAAGCAGCCAUCCUCCACGACUCACUGGGGAUCGAGAAGACAGAGCACGCACGCACGCACNNNNNNNNNNNNNNNNNNNNNNNNNNNNNNNNNNNNNNNNNNNNNNNNNNNNNNNNNNNNNNNNNNNNNNNNNNNNNNNNNNNNNNNNNNNNNNNNNNNNNNNNNNNNNNNNNNNNNNNNNNNNNGUGUGUGUGUGUGUGUGUGUGUGUGUGUGUGUGUGUGUGUGUGUGUGUGUGUGUGUGUGUGUUUGUGUGUGUGUGUGUGUGAUGUGUUGGGUUUCCACCUGGCUGCAGAGAGUUUGUUAACAUCCACAGCAGUAACUUCAAAACUAUCUCCUAACUCUUGUUCAAACUGUUUUUUUUUUUUAUUUUGUCUCCCAGCUGCCAAGCUGGAGUUCUUUUGGGGACUCAAGAAGAAUUACCUGAUCCUUUAAAAAGAAAGGAGACAAGGAGAGAAUAGAGCAAGAAACUUCCGUGGACCCUGUCCAACAGGAGAACAGAGUCAGCUCUGCAGCUAGAGAAGCUGGUUGUUAGGAAUGUGGAGAGAACGAGUAGCAGUGGAGCUGAGAGAGGUUGGAGGAGAGGCUGGCUCUCAUGCAGAGGGAGGGAAGGGCUUUUCAGAGAGCAUGGAGCUCUGUUCACUCUGCACACACACACACACACACGUGCGCACACAUACACACACAUACACUACAAAGCUGUUCUUAGGCUGAAACAGAAGAGGGGAACAGCGGAGAGGACGCCACGCUUGCUGAGUAAGUCAUGUCUUUGCUGACUGUUUGUGGGGAGAUUUUUGUUUUGUUUGCAACAAAAACUGGUUGUUUAUGUGUGUCAGCUCUAGUUGUGUGUUUAAAGUAAAAAAGAUUGGUGUGUCAUUACUUUUAUUUGCUGCAAGUCUCUUUUUGUGCUCUAACUCAUCUGUUUUCUGCUGAUUAAAACCACAUGGAUCACACACACACACACACACACACACACACACACACACACACACACACACACACACACACACACACACACACACACACACACACACACUAUCUUGUUUACGCCUGUUAGAAAUAAUAAAACAGAUAAUAGCAGAAGAAUCCUCACAUUAACUCUCAUCAGUAAUUUGCUUUUUUCCUCAUUAUUAAAAAACUUUUCCCCCUUUUUCGUUGAUUUCCUGCUCACUCUCACUCUCCCUG